Non-coding RNA from Rattus norvegicus (Norway rat), 1436 nucleotides. The record is from RefSeq and is a predicted model, not a curated record. Lineage: Eukaryota; Metazoa; Chordata; Mammalia; Rodentia; Muridae.
GACAUUUUUGCAUGUCUUUGACCACAUCUCUAUUAGGCAGGGGAAAAGACAGUGGACGCAAUUAUACUAUUGAUUUCAGCUGCAUAAUCAUUGUGCCUGACUUCUAUGAACAGUUUCUGUGAACGUGCUGCUCUCUGGUGCAACCAGUCUGCAAAGAAUGCAUAUCCAUUUCUCAUGGCCUCAUCCAACAACAUCAAGGUUCCAACUUCUGUUGGAGCAGGAACAAUGUAGUUACUAAAUCAUCUCAUGAGUAAGGAGGAGGAGGGAAACUCCAGCAUGACGACACUGUCAGAAUCUGUGUUUUUAAUAGUGAUAAUUAACUAACAUACACAAACUAACUGAGAGAAAGCUGAGGAGAAACCAGGGAGCCAGCUUCCUUUCAUACUACAUCAUACUACAGUAAUCCCUGAAUAUGCAAAUGCAGCUGAAGCACAAGACAAUGAGCUUAAAACCAACUUGUGAAGAUAUAGAGGUCCUUAAAGAGGAAACAAAUAAACUCCUUAAAGAAAUCCAGGAAAACACAAGCAAACGGGUGAAAAAAAAGAAAUAAAAUUGUGCAAAGACAUGAAAAUAGCAAUAAAACAAUAAGAAAACAAACCAAUGGAGUUCUGGAAAUGGAAACUCUAGGUAAGUAAACAGGAAUUACAAACACAAGCAACACCGACAACCAACGGAAUGCCAAAGAUGGAUGACAGAAUCUUUGGUAUUGAGGAAACAAUAAAAGGAAAUAGAUGCAUAAGCCAAAGAAAAUGUUAGAUCUAAAAAGCUCCUGACAAAACAUCUAGGAAGUCUGGGACACUAUGAAAAGACCAAGCCUAUGAACAAUAGGAAUAGAAGAAAGAGAAGACUCAUAGUUCAUAAGCCCAGAAAGAUUUUGUAACAAAUCAUGAACAAAAUUUUCCUAACAUAAAGAAGGACAUGCCUAUACAGUAAAAGACUUAGCUUACUGGACACCAAAUAGAUUGGACCAAAAAGGAAUGUCACCUCACCACAUAAUAAUCAAAGCACUAAACAUAAACAACAAAGAAAGAAUAUUAAAAGCUUCAAAGAAAAAGGCUAAGUAACAUAAGAAGACAGAGUUAUUAGAAUUACACUCAACUGCCCAACCAAGACUCUAAAAGCCAAAAGGGCCUAGACAGAUGUCUUGCAGACUCCAGAUGUCUUGCAGACUCUAGAAGACCACAGAUGCCAUCCCAGACUACAAUAUUCAGCAAAACUUUCAAUCCUCAUAGAUGGGAAAAACAAGAUUUUCUAUGACAAUAUCAAAUUUAAACUAUCUAUCCAUAGACCCAGCCCUACAGAAGGUACUAGAAGGAAAGCUCCAAUACAAGGAGGUUAAUUAAACCAUGAAAACACAGGAAAUAAAUAAUCUCACGCCAGCAAAGCCAAAAUAAGGGAAACACACACACACACACACACACACACACACACCAACA